This 109-nucleotide ribosomal RNA is filed under the name Xenopus laevis (African clawed frog). The record is from RNAcentral. Lineage: Eukaryota; Metazoa; Chordata; Amphibia; Anura; Pipidae.
ACUUAUGGCCACACCACCCUGAAAGCGCUCAAUCGCGGAAGCUAUCUGGGGCUGGGCUUGGUUAGUACCUGGAUGGGAGACUGCCUGGGAAUACCAGGUGUCAUAGGCU